GCAUGGAUUUGGAUUUAUGGUAGGCCUAGACCCAUGGGUCUCUCAUCAUGUCCCAUGCCAGAGCAAACCGUAGUCCCUAACCAUUGCCUUGUCUCCUAGCCCAUAGGCUUCUGGUACUGAAGCAGGUUGCACAGUG
This is a small nucleolar RNA of Echinops telfairi (small Madagascar hedgehog), 136 nucleotides long. RefSeq annotates it as small nucleolar RNA SNORA42/SNORA80 family. The record is from RefSeq and is a predicted model, not a curated record. Lineage: Eukaryota; Metazoa; Chordata; Mammalia; Afrosoricida; Tenrecidae. The transcript has a single exon.